Molecule: ribosomal RNA, 476 nt
Filed under: uncultured soil bacterium
Lineage: Bacteria
Description: bacterial SSU rRNA
Rfam family: Bacterial small subunit ribosomal RNA
Source: RNAcentral
AGGACGAACGCUGGCGGCGUGCUUAACACAUGCAAGUCGAGCGGUAAGGCCUUUCGGGGUACACGAGCGGCGAACGGGUGAGUAACACGUGGGUGAUCUGCCCUGCACUCUGGGAUAAGCCUGGGAAACUGGGUCUAAUACCGGAUAUGACCUGCUCUCGCAUGGGGGUGGGUGGAAAGAUUUAUCGGUGCAGGAUGGGCCCGCGGCCUAUCAGCUUGUUGGUGGGGUAAUGGCCUACCAAGGCGACGACGGGUAGCCGACCUGAGAGGGUGACCGGCCACACUGGGACUGAGACACGGCCCAGACUCCUACGGGAGGCAGCAGUGGGGAAUAUUGCACAAUGGGCGAAAGCCUGAUGCAGCGACGCCGCGUGAGGAUGAAGGCCUUCGGGUUGUAAACCUCUUUCAGCGCCGACGAAGCGAGAGUGACGGUAGCGCAGAAGAAGCGACCGGCCAACGUACCGUACCAGCAGCCGC